UCUCAGGUCUCCACACCAGCAGAGAAGGUUGCUGAGACACCUCCAUCCACCAUCACACAGAACAAGGAUGAAUCAGGACCGAUUCUUUCAUCAAACAAAGCUGGAGUCGAUCGUCACCUUGUAAGCUACACGGAUUCUGAUGAGUCUCUGUGUCCAUGCACCAGUUCCUCCCAGCUAAAUGAAAGAUACUCACAGUUGAUUUCCUGUGAGUCGUUGAGGUCUGAGGUGUUGAUCACUGUGGUGUUGGAGGUCAGGGGGCUAGGGGUGGAUGCUGGUGGAGGGUCUGGACAAACCUUCUCUUGUUUUUCUGCUCAAGGUUACUUGAUUUACAUAGCAGAACAGGACUGUUUUUUUGUUUGUUUUUUUGAGACAGUAUCACUUAAAUGAUUGAUAUUAAUGAAUCAUAUUGUAAUGUUCACAUUCAAAAAAUCUGCUUGGAUUUGCAAAAAAUUGUUUUGAUACAAUUUAUUUUUCUUAUGUGAUAGCAGGGCUGUCAAGCUAUUAAAAAAUAGCCCUUGACCCAUGUCUGUCUGUUACUUAAGAUGACUUGUAGUAAUAAAAUCUUAAACAUUGCAUCA
Scatophagus argus is the source of this 578-nucleotide long non-coding RNA. RefSeq lists it as uncharacterized. The transcript is spliced from 2 exons. Lineage: Eukaryota; Metazoa; Chordata; Actinopteri; Scatophagidae. The record is from RefSeq and is a predicted model, not a curated record.